This 468-nucleotide ribosomal RNA is filed under the name uncultured bacterium. RNAcentral describes it as "partial 16S ribosomal RNA". It matches the Rfam family "Bacterial small subunit ribosomal RNA", at positions 28 to 507 of the family's 1533-position model. The record is from RNAcentral.
GACGAACGCUGGCGGCGUGCUUAACACAUGCAAGUCGAACGGAAAGGCCCUGCUUUUGUGGGGUGCUCGAGUGGCGAACGGGUGAGUAACACGUGAGUAACAUGCCCUUGACUUUGGGAUAACUUCAGGAAACUGGGGCUAAUACCGGAUAGGAGCUCCUGCUGCAUGGUGGGGGUUGGAAAGUUUCGGCGGUUGGGGCUGGACUCGCGGCUUAUCAGCUUGUUGGUGGGGUAGUGGCUUACCAAGGCUUUGACGGGUAGCCGGCCUGAGAGGGUGACCGGCCACAUGGGGACUACGAUACGCACCAGACGCCUACGGGAGGCAGCAGUGGGGAGUAUGGCACAAUGGGCGGAAGCCUGAUGCAGCAACGCCGCGUGCGGGAUGACGGCCUUCGGGUUGUAAACCGCUUUCGCCUGUGACGAAGCGUGAGUGACGGUAAUGGGUAAAGAAGCACCGGCUAACUACGUG